UACGUAGGUGGCAAGCGUUAUCCGGAUUUAUUGGGCGUAAAGGGAACGCAGGCGGUCUUUUAAGUCUGAUGUGAAAGCCUUCGGCUUAACCGGAGUAGUGCAUUGGAAACUGGGAGACUUGAGUGCAGAAGAGGAGAGUGGAACUCCAUGUGUAGCGGUGAAAUGAGUAGAUAUAUGGAAGAACACCAGUGGCGAAAGCGGCUCUCUGGUCUGUAACUGACGCUGAGGUUCGAAAGCGUGGGUAGCAAACAGG
RNAcentral lists this ribosomal RNA (253 nucleotides) under uncultured bacterium. Its description in RNAcentral is "partial 16S ribosomal RNA". It matches the Rfam family "Bacterial small subunit ribosomal RNA", at positions 524 to 776 of the family's 1533-position model. The record is from RNAcentral.